UUUCUUCCAUAUACCACCUGUUGAUACACAUCAACUGAAAAGUCCCUAAAUACAGAAUUCUAUCACAGAAUCUAAGACACAAUUCAUCCACCAAUCAAUCUAAAACUGAAACAAAAAUAUCCACUACCUGUUGAAGCAAAAAUAACUGAAAACUGAAGCAAAAAUAGAUACAAUUAUUGCUCCAUUCUCCUCUCGCUGGACAAACUCCCAACGUGAGCUUCCACUAUGCCGGCUGCUGGUAUGCAACCAUACGAGAUGAGAAUGGAGCAAUAAUUGUUGAAAUGGAAGAUAAAUGAGAAUUUUUUGAAGAACCGAGAGAGAGUGGAAUGGGAACUGUCGGGCCGUGAAGUGUGAAGAAGGAAAUUAAGAAAAUGAGGGUUUUCAAUUGGUGAGACAGUUUUACCCCUGUUGAGUGGAAAAAAAUUGGUUCUCUCUUUUUAAUUAACGGCAAAAUGGAUGAAACUUGGACGGAAGGACCUUCA
RNAcentral lists this long non-coding RNA (482 nucleotides) under Olea europaea subsp. europaea. The record is from RNAcentral. Lineage: Eukaryota; Viridiplantae; Streptophyta; Magnoliopsida; Lamiales; Oleaceae.